ACAGUGUACAAAGGUCUGAGCCCGUUUGUGCUUGCACAAGAACGGGCGUAAGAUCUUGGUACACGCCCCGGCAUGAGCAUAAAAGCGGAGCGAAUGCUUCGCGAUAUGCGAAUGUCGAGGUGGGAUUGUGGGAGUGCAACGCACGGAGCAAUCC
This 154-nucleotide small RNA is filed under the name human gut metagenome. RNAcentral describes it as "Clostridiales-1 RNA". It matches the Rfam family "Clostridiales-1 RNA", at positions 10 to 157 of the family's 166-position model. The record is from RNAcentral.